GAUGAAGAACGUAGCGAAAUGCGAUACGUAAUGUGAAUUGCAGAAUUCAGUGAAUCAUCGAAUCUUUGAACGCAUAUUGCGCUCUCUGGUAUUCCGGAGAGCAUGCUUUUUGAGUAUCAGUAAACACCUCAACUUCCAUAUCUUUUUUGAAAUGGGAGUUGGACUUGAGUGAUCCCAACGCUUUUCCUCACCGAAAAGUGGCGGGUUACUUGAAAUGCAGGUGCAGCUGGACUUUUCUCUGAGCUAUAAGCAUAUCUAUUUAGUCUGCCUAAAAAACAGAUUAUUACCUUUGCUGCAGCUAACAUAAAGGAGAUUAGUUCUUGUGCUGACUGAUGCAGGAUUCACAAAGACGGCUUCGGCCGACUUUGUAAACUCGAUCUCAAAUCAAGUAAGACUACCCGCUGAACUUAAGCAUAUCAAUAAGCGGAGGA
RNAcentral lists this unclassified non-coding RNA (431 nucleotides) under soil metagenome. Its description in RNAcentral is "partial contains 5.8S ribosomal RNA, internal transcribed spacer 2, and large subunit ribosomal RNA". The stretch from base 1 to 119 matches the Rfam family "5.8S ribosomal RNA", at positions 35 to 154 of the family's 154-position model. The record is from RNAcentral.